UAUUUGCUCCAUUGGAGGGUGAGCAAUUGUAUGGAACACCGGGUUCAUGGGGUGGAGAGCAACUGCAUAUAUGACACAUCAUGAGGUUCCACUGCCAGAUGAUGAGCAGUGGUUUGCAAGCCUCAAAACAGAGGCUGGGGAUCGGAAUUGUGCUAUAUGAUCCUGUCACCAACUGAAACCCCUCAUGGUGAACACCAUCAGUGCUCUUAAGAAUCAGCAGACGCAGGCGUUAUUGGAUGCCCUUGGACAGCUCAUCCAGGGUCAACGUGCCAUUCAAACCGAUGCGGCAGCCACCGCUUCGCCACUGCCACAGCCAC
Long non-coding RNA from Schistocerca serialis cubense, 317 nucleotides. RefSeq lists it as uncharacterized. NCBI's taxonomy places the organism in Eukaryota, Metazoa, Arthropoda, Insecta, Orthoptera, Acrididae. The transcript has 3 exons. The record is from RefSeq and is a predicted model, not a curated record.